Molecule: non-coding RNA, 471 nt
Organism: Mus caroli (Ryukyu mouse)
Lineage: Eukaryota; Metazoa; Chordata; Mammalia; Rodentia; Muridae
Source: the annotation of a RefSeq genome assembly
AUGAGAGUGUUGAUUCUUGUGUACCUGUUGACAGCCCUUCCUGGUAUCCUGUCUGAUGUACUGCUUCAGGAGUCAGGACCUGGCCUGGUGAAGCCUUCUCAGACAGUGUCCCUCACCUGCACUGUCACUGGCUACUCUAUCACCAGUGGUAAUCACUGGUGGAACUGGAUCCGGCAGGUUUCAGGAAACAAACUGAAGUGGAUGGGGUACAUAAGCUCCAGUGGUACCACUGACAGCAAUCCAUCUCUCAAAAGUCGAAUCUCCAUUACUAGAGACACUUCCAAGAACCAGCUAUUCCUGCAAUUGAACUCUGUGACUACUGAAGAUAUAGCCACAUAUUACUGUGCAAGAGACACAGUGUUGAGUCUUCAGUGUGAGCCCAGACAAAAACCUCCUUAUAGAGCUUCGCUACACCAACAGGUGGAUUGCCAGGGACAUUUAGGACAGGAAAUCUACUUUAGGGAGGGUUAA